UACGGAGGGUGCGAGCGUUGUCCGGAAUCACUGGGCGUAAAGGGCGCGUAGGUGGCUUCUCAAGCGCGCGGUGAAAGCCCGGGGCUCAACCCCGGGUCGGCCGUGCGGACUGGGAGGCUCGAGCACUGUAGGGGCGGGUGGAAUUCCGGGUGUAGCGGUGGAAUGCGUAGAGAUCCGGAAGAACACCGGUGGCGAAGGCGGCCCGCUGGGCAGGAAGACGGGGCAACCCGUCGGCUGACACUGAGGCGCGACAGCGUGGGGAGCAAACAGG
RNAcentral lists this ribosomal RNA (271 nucleotides) under uncultured Gemmatimonas sp. Its description in RNAcentral is "partial 16S ribosomal RNA". It matches the Rfam family "Bacterial small subunit ribosomal RNA", at positions 524 to 776 of the family's 1533-position model. Lineage: Bacteria; Pseudomonadati; Gemmatimonadota; Gemmatimonadia; Gemmatimonadales; Gemmatimonadaceae. The record is from RNAcentral.